GAUGAACGCUGGCGGCGUGCCUAAUACAUGCAAGUCGAGCGAACAGAUGAGGAGCUUGCUCCUCUGACGUUAGCGGCGGACGGGUGAGUAACACGUGGAUAACCUACCUAUAAGACUGGGAUAACUUCGGGAAACCGGAGCUAAUACCGGAUAAUAUAUUGAACCGCAUGGUUCAAUAGUGAAAGACGGUUUUGCUGUCACUUAUAGAUGGAUCCGCGCCGCAUUAGCUAGUUGGUAAGGUAACGGCUUACCAAGGCAACGAUGCGUAGCCGACCUGAGAGGGUGAUCGGCCACACUGGAACUGAGACGCGGUCCAGACUCCUACGGGAGGCAGCAGUAGGGAAUCGUCCGCAAUGGGCGAAAGCCUGACGGAGCAACGCCGCGUGAGUGAUGAAGGUCUUCGGAUCGUAAAACUCUGUUAUUAGGGAAGAACAAAUGUGUAAGUAACUAUGCACGUCUUGACGGUACCUAAUCAGAAAGCCACGGCUAACUACGUG
This 497-nucleotide ribosomal RNA is filed under the name uncultured bacterium. RNAcentral describes it as "partial 16S ribosomal RNA". It matches the Rfam family "Bacterial small subunit ribosomal RNA", at positions 28 to 507 of the family's 1533-position model. The record is from RNAcentral.